AUGAACGCUGGCGGCAGGCUAAUACAUGCAAGUCGAACGGUAACGACCGGUAGCAAUACUGGGGCGACGAGUGGCGCACGGGUGCGUAACGCGUAUGCAACCUACCCUCAACCGGGGCAUAACGCCGAGAAAUUGGCGCUAAUAUCCCAUGUGUAUGUGAGACGGCAUCGUCUUAUAUAUAAAGAUCCGUUGGUUAAGGAUGGGCAUGCGUAACAUUAGCUGGUUGGCGGGGUAACGGCCCACCAAGGCGACGAUGUUUAGGGGUUCUGAGAGGAUUCACCCCCACACUGGAACUGAGACACGGUCCAGACUCCUACGGGAGGCAGCAGUAGGGAAUAUUGGGCAAUGGAGGCAACUCUGACCCAGCCAUGCCCGCGUGAAGGAAGACGGCCCUAUGGGUUGUAAACUUCUUUUGCCGCAGAGUAACCCGGGGACGAGUCCCCCGCUGAGAGUAUGCGGCGAAUAAGUAUCGGCUAACUCCGUGCCAGCCGCCGC
RNAcentral lists this ribosomal RNA (495 nucleotides) under uncultured bacterium. RNAcentral describes it as "bacterial SSU rRNA". It matches the Rfam family "Bacterial small subunit ribosomal RNA", at positions 29 to 518 of the family's 1533-position model. The record is from RNAcentral.